RNAcentral lists this ribosomal RNA (254 nucleotides) under uncultured bacterium. RNAcentral's name for it is "partial 16S ribosomal RNA". It matches the Rfam family "Bacterial small subunit ribosomal RNA", at positions 524 to 776 of the family's 1533-position model. The record is from RNAcentral.
UACGGGGGGGGCAAGCGUUGUUCGGAAUUACUGGGCGUAAAGCGUACCGUCGGUGUCUUGAUAAGUCUUCUGUCCAAGCCUGGGGCUCAACUCCAGAAAGGCAGGGGAAACUAUCAGGAUUGAGGGUGUUCGGGGGAGCUAGAAUUCUCGGUGGAGGGGUGAAAUCCGUAGAUAUCGAGAGGAAUGCCAGCCGCGAAGGCGGGCUCCUAGGACACAUCUGACACUCAGGGACGACAGCUUGGGGAGCAAAAGGG